CUACGGGGUGCAGCAGUGAGGAAUAUUGCACAAUGGGGGGAACCCUGAUGCAGCAACGCCGCGUGGAGGAUGACGCAUUUCGGUGUGUAAACUCCUUUUAUAUGUCAAGAAAAUGACGGUAGCAUAUGAAUAAGCACCGGCUAACUCCGUGCCAGCAGCCGCGGUAAUACGGAGGGUGCAAGCGUUACUCGGAAUCACUGGGCGUAAAGGACGCGUAGGCGGGUUGGAAAGUCAGGUGUGAAAUCCUACAGCUUAACUGUAGAACUGCACUUGAAACUUCUAAUCUAGAGUAUGGGAGGGGGAGAUGGAAUUAGUGGUGUAGGGGUAAAAUCCGUAGAUAUCACUAGGAAUACCUAAAGCGAAGGCGAUCUCCUGGAACAUUACUGACGCUAAGGCGUGAAAGCGUGGGGAGCAAACAGGAUUAGAUACCCCUGUAGUC
This 439-nucleotide ribosomal RNA is filed under the name uncultured bacterium. RNAcentral describes it as "partial 16S ribosomal RNA". It matches the Rfam family "Bacterial small subunit ribosomal RNA", at positions 339 to 795 of the family's 1533-position model. The record is from RNAcentral.